GAAAUGCGAUAAGUAAUGUGAAUUGCAGAGUUUUGUGAAUCAUCGAAUCUUUGAACGCACAUUGCGCCCCUCGGUAUUCCGACGGGCAUGCCUGUCCGAGCAUCGUUCGCAACACAUCGAGUCACAUCUCGGUCUUGGGCCCCGUCCCGCCCGUGGGACGGGCCCCGAAGUCCCCGGCGGCCCCGGGCGUCCGUCGGAGCGUUUUCGAACGUGGCCGCUCCGCGCGGUGCGACCCGGGUUCCGGCCCACCGGGCGAGAGCCCCCCAACACACACAAGAGGUUUGACCUCGGAUCAGGCAGGGUUACCCGCUGAACUUAAGC
This 321-nucleotide unclassified non-coding RNA is filed under the name plant metagenome. RNAcentral's name for it is "partial contains 5.8S ribosomal RNA, internal transcribed spacer 2, and large subunit ribosomal RNA". The stretch from base 1 to 105 matches the Rfam family "5.8S ribosomal RNA", at positions 50 to 154 of the family's 154-position model. The record is from RNAcentral.